Molecule: long non-coding RNA, 491 nt
Filed under: Homo sapiens (human)
Lineage: Eukaryota; Metazoa; Chordata; Mammalia; Primates; Hominidae
Description: HSALNT0125518
Source: RNAcentral
CUUGAUUUGGAUCCAUUGCUAAUGAGCUAGUGUGAUCUUUUGGGGGUGUUAAAGAACCUUGUUUUGCCAUAUUACCAAAAUUGUUUUUCUGGUUCCUUCUCAUUUGGGUAGACUACAUCAGAGAUCCAGUGUUCAAGGGCUAUUGUUCAGAUUCUUUUGUCCCAUAGGGUAUUACCUGGAUGUGGGUGCUCAGGGAUGAGGCUUCAUGAGAGCCAAACUGUAGAGGUUGUUACUUCUCUUCUGGAUCUAGCUGCCCAGCAGAGCUACCAGGCUCCAGGCUGCUACUGGGGAGUGUCUGCAAAGAGUCCUGUGAUGUGAUCCAUCUUCAGUUUUCUCAGCCCUGGAUACCAGCACCUGCUCUGGUAGAGAUAGCAGGGGAAGGCAAUUAGGAAAAGGAAAUAGUAAAAAGGAAACAGAAAGAUGGCAUCUGGAAAAAUGAAGACAUUUGUUCCAGCAUACUGUCAUGGACCGCUAAAGCUGACCCUGGUGGU